UGGAGCCUACGGGGCGCAGCAGUGGGGAAUAUUGCACAAUGGGGGAAACCCUGAUGCAGCGACGCCGCGUGAGUGAAGAAGUAUUUCGGUACGUAAAGCUCUAUCAGCAGGGAAGAAAAUGACGGUACCUGACUAAGAAGCCCCGGCUAACUACGUGCCAGCAGCCGCGGUAAUACGUAGGGGGCAAGCGUUAUCCGGAUUUACUGGGUGUAACGGGAGCGUAGACGGCAGUGCAAGUCUGGAGUGAAAGGCGGGGGCCCAACCACGGGAC
Molecule: ribosomal RNA, 271 nt
Filed under: uncultured bacterium
Lineage: Bacteria
Description: partial 16S ribosomal RNA
Rfam family: Bacterial small subunit ribosomal RNA
Source: RNAcentral